This 992-nucleotide ribosomal RNA is filed under the name uncultured bacterium. Its description in RNAcentral is "bacterial SSU rRNA". It matches the Rfam family "Bacterial small subunit ribosomal RNA", at positions 511 to 1502 of the family's 1533-position model. The record is from RNAcentral.
GCAGCCGCGGUAAUACGGAGGGUGCGAGCGUUAAUCGGAAUUACUGGGCGUAAAGCGCAUGCAGGUGGUUUGUUAAGUCAGAUGUGAAAGCCCGGGGCUCAACCUUGGGAAUUGCAUUUGAAACUGGCAAACUAGAGUACUGUAGAGGGGGGUAGAAUUUCAGGUGUAGCGGUGAAAUGCGUAGAGAUCUGAAGGAAUACCGGUGGCGAAGGCGGCCCCCUGGACAGAUACUGACACUCAGAUGCGAAAGCGUGGGGAGCAAACAGGAUUAGAUACCCUGGUAGUCCACGCCGUAAACGAUGUCUACUUGGAGGUUGUGGCCUUGAGCCGUAACUUUCGGAGCUAACGCGUUAAGUAGACCGCCUGGGGAGUACGGUCGCAAGAUUAAAACUCAAAUGAAUUGACGGGGGCCCGCACAAGCGGUGGAGCAUGUGGUUUAAUUCGAUGCAACGCGAAGAACCUUACCUACUCUUGACAUCUACAGAAGCCAGCGGAGACGCAGGUGUGCCUUCGGGAACUGUAAGACAGGUGCUGCAUGGCUGUCGUCAGCUCGUGUUGUGAAAUGUUGGGUUAAGUCCCGCAACGAGCGCAACCCUUAUCCUUGUUUGCCAGCACUUCGGGUGGGAACUCCAGGGAGACUGCCGGUGAUAAACCGGAGGAAGGUGGGGACGACGUCAAGUCAUCAUGGCCCUUACGAGUAGGGCUACACACGUGCUACAAUGGCGCAUACAGAGGGCGGCCAACUUGCGAAAGUGAGCGAAUCCCAAAAAGUGCGUCGUAGUCCGGAUUGGAGUCUGCAACUCGACUCCAUGAAGUCGGAAUCGCUAGUAAUCGUGGAUCAGAAUGCCACGGUGAAUACGUUCCUGGGCCUUGUACACACCGCCCGUCACACCAUGGGAGUGGGCUGCAAAAGAAGUGGGUAGUUUAACCUUCGGGAGGACGCUCACCACUUUGUGGUUCAUGACUGGGGUGAAGUCGUAACAAGGUAACCG